UACGUAGGGCGCAAGCGUUGUCCGGAAUUAUUGGGCGUAAAGAGCUCGUAGGCGGCUUGUCACGUCGGGUGUGAAAGCCCGGGGCUUAACCCCGGGUCUGCAUUCGAUACGGGCUAGCUAGAGUGUGGUAGGGGAGAUCGGAAUUCCUGGUGUAGCGGUGAAAUGCGCAGAUAUCGGGAGGAACACCGAUGGCGAAGGCAGGUCUCUGGGCCACUACUGACGCUGAGAAGCGAAAGCAUGGGGAGCGAACAGG
This 253-nucleotide ribosomal RNA is filed under the name uncultured bacterium. RNAcentral's name for it is "partial 16S ribosomal RNA". It matches the Rfam family "Bacterial small subunit ribosomal RNA", at positions 524 to 776 of the family's 1533-position model. The record is from RNAcentral.